AGGAUUGUAGUUUAAAUAAAACAUUUGCAUUGGAAGCUAAAAAUCAGGCGAAUGCCUGCAUCUUGA
RNAcentral lists this transfer RNA (66 nucleotides) under Conus gloriamaris. RNAcentral describes it as "tRNA-Pro". Lineage: Eukaryota; Metazoa; Mollusca; Gastropoda; Neogastropoda; Conidae. The record is from RNAcentral.